AGAGAGAGACAUGCGCGCAUAUCAAUAAGCGGAGGAAAAGAAACUAACAAGGAUUCCCCUAGUAACGGCGAGUGAAGCGGGAAGAGCUCAAAUUUGAAAUCUUAAAGGGUUUCCCUUUACGAAUUGUAGUUUAAAGAAGUGUUUUCUGUUGAAGGUUUUCGGUAAAAGUUCUUUGGAAUAGGACAUCAUAGAGGGUGAGAAUCCCGUAUUUGACCGUUACUUUUCAGCUGUGUGAUACACUUUCAAAGAGUCGGAUUGUUUGGGAAUGCAGUCCAAAAUGGGUGGUAAAUUUCAUCUAAAGCUAAAUAUUGGCGAGAGACCGAUAGCGAACAAGUACCGUGAGGGAAAGAUGAAAAGAACUUUGAAAAGAGAGUUAAACAGUACGUGAAAUUGUCAAAAGGGAAGCGUUUGACACCAGUGUUGUUUUUCUGAAAAUCAAUUAAAGAACUGUUUAUGCUAAGUUGUUUAGACUUUAUCAGCUAACUGUUUAGUUUUGAGCUUUUCUUUAAUGCACUUUUCAGUUAACAAGUCAACAUCAAUUUCUUUUGCUGUAAAAAAGCUUGAGGAAGGUGGCUUGAGAUUCGUCUUAAGUGUUUAUAGCCUCUUGCCUAUGCAGUCGGAGAGAUUGAGGUCUGCAGCGUAGAUCCUUCGGGGCUAAAUGCAUUUGUGCUAAGUUAUAGCAUUUUAUAGACAACUUGUUGACUAUGAUUUGUCUUGUAGCUUACUCGCUUAUGUUAUUUUACCUACGCUUAGGAUGUUGAGCGCAUGUCUCUCUCU
This 777-nucleotide ribosomal RNA is filed under the name uncultured Neocallimastigales. RNAcentral's name for it is "partial large subunit ribosomal RNA". It matches the Rfam family "Eukaryotic large subunit ribosomal RNA", at positions 23 to 616 of the family's 3401-position model. The record is from RNAcentral. Lineage: Eukaryota; Fungi; Neocallimastigomycota; Neocallimastigomycetes; Neocallimastigales.